AAUCUAUCUCUUACAAUCAGGGUCAACGUAAUCCGUCGCGCUUCAAUUUCCGGUUACAUUGCCAAAGAACGUUAAUCUGAGGAUUAUUUGCAAUCGACUCGUUCACUUUGAUCCUGACCGUGGUGAAAGAAGGGCGCGAUCCUUUAGUUUGUUCCGUGGUGUAAUUGGCUAGCCUAGUUGUAAAUUGUGCGGUAGAGUUUUUGUGAGCUGUGCGACUGUCUUGUGUGUUAAAGCCUAGACGACAAAGCCACCGCCUGCACGCCAUCACCAUUGCUCGUCGCCAUCGCCAACCCUUGCCACGCUCUGGACUCAAGGUUCCCCGCCUUGACGAAGGCGGAAGGGAGUAGCAACCGUCUAACUGCACUCCAACCGGCGACCCCCAGUCAAACCCCGGCCGAUUGAGUCGGCCCGAACCGUAAGUGUUUCCGAACCUUCUUUUUUCCGGACCCGU
Armigeres subalbatus is the source of this 451-nucleotide long non-coding RNA. RefSeq lists it as uncharacterized. The transcript has 3 exons. The record is from RefSeq and is a predicted model, not a curated record. Lineage: Eukaryota; Metazoa; Arthropoda; Insecta; Diptera; Culicidae.